UGGGGGAUAUUGCACAAUGGGCGAAAGCCUGCUGCAGCAACGCCGCGUGGGGGAUGAAGGCCUUCGGGUUGUAAACUUCUUUUGCUCUGAACAAGGCAUGCCUUUGGGGUGUGUUGAGUGUAGGGGUUGAUUAGCGCCGGCUAACUACGUGCCAGCAGCCGCGGUAAUACGUAGGGCGCGAGCGCUGUCCGGAAUUAUUGGGCGUAAAGGGCUUGUAGGUGGCUGGUUGCGUCUGUCGUGAAAGCUCAUGGCUUAACUGUGGGUGUGCGGUGGGUAGGGGCUGGCUUGAGUGCAGUAGGGGAGGGUGGAAUUCCUGGUGUAGCGGUGGAAUGCGAAGAUAUCAGGAGGAAUACCGGUGGCGAAGGCGGGUCUCUGGGCUGUUACUGUCGCUGAGGAGAGAAAGGGUGGGGAGCGAACAGG
RNAcentral lists this ribosomal RNA (420 nucleotides) under Fusobacteriota bacterium. RNAcentral describes it as "Fusobacteria bacterium partial 16S ribosomal RNA". It matches the Rfam family "Bacterial small subunit ribosomal RNA", at positions 355 to 776 of the family's 1533-position model. Lineage: Bacteria; Fusobacteriati; Fusobacteriota. The record is from RNAcentral.